UACGAAGGGAGCAAGCGUUGUUCGGAAUUACUGGGCGUAAAGGGCGCGUAGGCGGACGGACAAGUCAGAGGUGAAAGCCCUGGGCUCAACCCGGGAAUUGCCUUUGAAACUGUUUGUCUUGAGUGCGAGAGAGGGUGGCGGAAUACCCAGUGUAGAGGUGAAAUUCGUAGAUAUUGGGUAGAACACCAGUGGCGAAGGCGGCCACCUGGCUCGCAACUGACGCUGAGGCGCGAAAGCGUGGGGAGCAAACAGG
This 253-nucleotide ribosomal RNA is filed under the name uncultured bacterium. RNAcentral's name for it is "partial 16S ribosomal RNA". It matches the Rfam family "Bacterial small subunit ribosomal RNA", at positions 524 to 776 of the family's 1533-position model. The record is from RNAcentral.